This 232-nucleotide ribosomal RNA is filed under the name uncultured bacterium. RNAcentral describes it as "partial 16S ribosomal RNA". It matches the Rfam family "Bacterial small subunit ribosomal RNA", at positions 85 to 334 of the family's 1533-position model. The record is from RNAcentral.
CAAUACGUCAGCGGCAGACGGGUGAGUAACGCGUGGGAACAUACCUUUUGGUUCGGAACAACACAGGGAAACUUGUGCUAAUACCGGAUAAGCCCUUACGGGGAAAGAUUUAUCGCCGAAAGAUUGGCCCGCGUCUGAUUAGCUAGUUGGUGAGGUAACGGCUCACCAAGGCGACGAUCAGUAGCUGGUCUGAGAGGAUGAUCAGCCACAUUGGGACUGAGACACGGCCCAA